GGUCAAGCGAAUAAGCGCACACGGUGGAUGCCUUGGCGGUCAGAGGCGAUGAAGGACGUGGCAGCCUGCGAAAAGUAUCGGGGAGCUGGCAACAAGCUUUGAUCCGGUAAUGUCCGAAUGGGGAAACCCACCCGCUUGCGGGUAUCCUGCAGUGAAUACAUAGCUGCUGGAAGCGAACCUGGUGAACUGAAAUAUCUAAGUAACCAGAGGAAAAGAAAUCAACCGAGAUUCCGUAAGUAGCGACGAGCGAACGCGGACUAGCCCUUAAGCUGAUUUGGUUCUAGGAAAACGCUCUGGAAAGAGCGGCCAUAGAAGGUGAUAGCCCUGUAUCUGAAAGGGCCAUUUCAGUGAAGACGAGUAGGGCGGGGCACGUGAAACCCUGUCUGAACAUGGGGGGACCAUCCUCCAAGGCUAAAUACUACUGACCGACCGAUAGUGAACCAGUACCGUGAGGGAAAGGCGAAAAGAACCCCGGAGAGGGGAGUGAAAUAGAACCUGAAACCGUGUGCGUACAAGCAGUAGGAGCUCCGCAAGGAGUGACUGCGUACCUUUUGUAUAAUGGGUCAGCGACUUACUGUUCGUGGCAAGCUUAACCGUAUAGGGGAGGCGAAGGGAAACCGAGUCUGAUAAGGGCGCAUAGUCGCGGGCAGUAGACCCGAAACCGGGUGAUCUAGUCAUGCCCAGGGUGAAGGUGCGGUAACACGCACUGGAGGCCCGAACCCACUCCCGUUGCAAAGGUAGGGGAUGAGGUGUGAUUAGGAGUGAAAAGCUAAUCGAACCCGGAGAUAGCUGGUUCUCCUCGAAAGCUAUUUAGGUAGCGCCUCAUAUGUAUCCUCUCGGGGGUAGAGCACUGUUAUGGCUAGGGGGUCAUCGCGACUUACCAAACCAUUGCAAACUCCGAAUACCGAGACGGACUGUAUGGGAGACACACGGCGGGUGCUAACGUCCGUCGUGAAAAGGGAAACAACCCAGACCCACAGCUAAGGUCCCAAAUUUUGUGCUAAGUGGAAAACCAUGUGGAAAGGCACAGACAGCCAGGAGGUUGGCUUAGAAGCAGCCACCCUUUAAAGAAAGCGUAAUAGCUCACUGGUCGAGUCGGUCUGCGGGGAAGAUUUAACGGGGCUAAGCACAGAACCGAAGCUUGGGGUGCAUAACUUUGUUAUGCGCGGUAGAGGAGCGUUCCGUAAGCCGUUGAAGGUGGAUUGAGAAGUCUGCUGGAGGUAUCGGAAGUGCGAAUGCUGACAUGAGUAACGAUAAUGCGGGUGAAAAACCCGCACGCCGAAAGCCAAGGUUUCCUUGCGCAACGUUAAUCGGCGCAGGGUGAGUCGGCCCCUAAGGCGAGGACGAAAGUCGUAGUCGAUGGGAAGCAGGUUAAUAUUCCUGCACCUCGCGUAAGUGCGAUGGAGGGACGGAGAAGGUUAGGUGUACCAGGCGUUGGUUGUCCUGGGGAAAGGCGGUAGGUUUGGAUCUUUGGCAAAUCCGGGAUCCUUUAAGACCGAGCACCGAGACGAGCCUUUAAGGCGAAGUCACUGAUACCACGCUUCCAGGAAAAGCUCCUAAGCUUCAGCUUACGCAGACCGUACCGUAAACCGACACAGGUGGGUAGGAUGAGAAUUCUCAGGCGCUUGAGAGAACUCGGGUGAAGGAACUAGGCAACAUGGCACCGUAACUUCGGGAGAAGGUGCACCCUUUUUGGUGGCUCAUGCGAGCUAUAGCUGAAGAGGGUCGCAGUAACCAGGCCGCUGCGACUGUUUAUCAAAAACACAGCACUCUGCAAACACGAAAGUGGACGUAUAGGGUGUGACGCCUGCCCGGUGCUGGAAGGUUAAUUGAUGGGGUCAGCCGCAAGGCGAAGCUCUUGAUCGAAGCCCCAGUAAACGGCGGCCGUAACUAUAACGGUCCUAAGGUAGCGAAAUUCCUUGUCGGGUAAGUUCCGACCUGCACGAAUGGCGUAACGACAGCGGCGCUGUCUCCACCCGAGACUCAGUGAAAUUGAAAUCGCUGUGAAGAUGCAGCGUUCCCGUGGCAAGACGGAAAGACCCCGUGAACCUUUACUAUAGCUUUACACUGAACGUUGAGUUCGUCUGUGUAGGAUAGGUGGGAGGCUAUGAAACCAUGGCGCUAGCUGUGGUGGAGCCAUCCUUGAAAUACCACCCUGUCGUGCUUGACGUUCUAACCUGGGCCCAUUAUCUGGGUCGGGGACCGUGUAUGGUGGGUAGUUUGACUGGGGCGGUCUCCUCCUAAAGAGUAACGGAGGAGCUCGAAGGUACGCUCAGCGCGGUCGGACAUCGCGCACUGUGUGCAAAGGCAUAAGCGUGCUUGACUGCAAGAUCGACGGAUCAAGCAGGUAGGAAACUAGGACUUAGUGAUCCGGUGGUUCUGUAUGGAAGGGCCAUCGCUCAACGGAUAAAAGGUACUCCGGGGAUAACAGGCUGAUACCGCCCAAGAGUUCAUAUCGACGGCGGUGUUUGGCACCUCGAUGUCGGCUCAUCACAUCCUGGGGCUGUAGUCGGUCCCAAGGGUAUGGCUGUUCGCCAUUUAAAGUGGUACGCGAGCUGGGUUCAGAACGUCGUGAGACAGUUCGGUCCCUAUCUGCCAUGGGCGUUGGAGAUUUGAGAGGGGCUGCUCCUAGUACGAGAGGACCGGAGUGGACGAACCUCUGGUGUUCCGGUUGUCACGCCAGUGGCAUUGCCGGGUAGCUAUGUUCGGAAGCGAUAACCGCUGAAAGCAUCUAAGCGGGAAGCGCGCCUCAAGAUGAGAUCUCCCGGGGCACAAGCCCCUGAAGGAACCAUGUAGACUACGUGGUUGAUAGGUCAGGUGUGUAAGUACAGCAAUGUAUUGAGCUAACUGAUACUAAUGAUCCGUGCGGCUUGACCAU
RNAcentral lists this ribosomal RNA (2878 nucleotides) under Stenotrophomonas pavanii. Its description in RNAcentral is "23S ribosomal RNA". It matches the Rfam family "Bacterial large subunit ribosomal RNA". The record is from RNAcentral. Lineage: Bacteria; Pseudomonadati; Pseudomonadota; Gammaproteobacteria; Lysobacterales; Lysobacteraceae.